This 467-nucleotide ribosomal RNA is filed under the name uncultured bacterium. Its description in RNAcentral is "partial 16S ribosomal RNA". It matches the Rfam family "Bacterial small subunit ribosomal RNA", at positions 29 to 507 of the family's 1533-position model. The record is from RNAcentral.
ACGAACGCUGGCGGCGUGCUUAACACAUGCAAGUCGAACGGAAAGGCCCUGCUUUUGUGGGGUGCUCGAGUGGCGAACGGGUGAGUAACACGUGAGUAACCUGCCCUUGACUUUGGGAUAACUUCAGGAAACUGGGCCUAUUACGGAUUGGGACUUCCGGCGGCAUGGGGGGGGUGGGAAGGUUUCGGCGGUUGGGGAUGGAUUCGCGCCUUUUCAGCUGGUUGGGGGGGUGGUGGCUUACCAAGGUUUGGCCGGGUAGCCGGCCUGGGAGGGUGACCGGCCACAUUGGGACUGAGAUACGGCCCAGACGCCUACGGGAGGCAGCAGUGGAGAAUAUUGCACAAUGGGCGGAAGCCUGAUGCAGCAACGCCGCGUGCGGGAUGACGGCCUUCGGGUUGUAAACCGCUUUCGCCUGUGACGAAGCGUGAGUGACGGUAAUGGGUAAAGAAGCACCGGCUAACUACGUG